UCAAAUGCUUAUUCGUAUACAAUAAACAUAGUCCAUAAAGUGUUAAUUUGUGUAUCUCGUAGAUACUUUUCCACAAGCAUACGAAGACGCAAAUGCGACAACACGACACAACACACACGUUAUACGUUCAUGUAAUUCCAGCGUGCAACACUAGCUUUCUCACUUACACCACUGCUACCGUUACGAGAAAAAUACAUAAAUAUCUCGUGCUGGAGCUGUUGCCGCUUUCCAGGAAGAAGAGUGUAUCCACAAGUGUGCAAAAUAUUGUUGUUUGAAAACGUAAGCGGGCAGUGGGACGGUGGCCAAGUCAACCGAAGUGCAUCGGUGUCGUUCUGAACUGGCGCUGAUCUGAGCAGAGGCAAGAAAAUCUCAGUUGUUUCGGAAAAUUGAAAGCGUUCGCUUGUGUUAAGUGCGCAAAGUGUGCGGUUUUGUGCUAAAGAAAGGUUUUGCCGUGUUUUAACGGGGACGUAGACGAAGACGAGGACGACGUCGUCGGUGGUAAACGGAUUCAUUUCGACGAAUUUCUAUAUGAGAUUUCUCUUUCGAGCCAAUGAUUAUAUGUGAAUUGUCGCCAGACAAAAGUUUUGAAAAUAAAAUACCUGGUUGGCACAACGUGUGUGAGUUUUGUGUGUUUUGGAUACAGCAGCUUCACCAAUCACAUGCAUUAGUUGGCACCAGCUGGAGCAACAUUUUUUGUGUAUAAUUAAAUGAGUGUACCAAGCAGGAUUCUGGUGAAAAAUAUACAUUUUCUCAACAGAAAAUUCUGACAAAUAUUUAAAAAAUGUAUUUGUGUCGCAAGUGCAACAAAUAAGUGUGAAAAUGUACGCAACUCAAAGCAGUUAAAGUGCCGAAAAUUGCAUUAAAAAGUGUAAACGCAAAUUGAGUUUAUAAUAGUGAAUAAAAAUUCUUCUAAAACCAAAUAAAUAAUGUUGCGUUAAAAAAUUUGUAUAAUAAAACAAAAUCAAAAAAAAAAAAUAAAAAAAAAACGCACGAAAAUAUCCUGUUUAGAUUUAGGACGAAAACAAUAGCACGUCUACACAACAAAACAACCCAAACUACACACGAGUAUGCUUGUAAAUAACAACAACAACCCUACAAAUGUUACGGUAAAGAGCGAGAAUAAAAAGGAUUUGCAAAUAAAAUAUUGAAAAUCAAAUGCAAAUUGUAAAUUUCACCGAACAAAUAGUGCAAAACGUAGAAAAGCGCAGGAAAAGCCAGCCAAAGACUGCGCCAAUCAGCGGUGAAAAAUACGAAAUACGUCGGAAAAAUAUCUAAAUAAAAGCAAUUUUCAAUGGAAAAUACGUAAAUGCGAAGUGGGAACCCCGUUAAAAGCACACAAAGCGCAUUGCCUUGCAUUGGUGAAGUCAAAGCGAAAUGUGUAAAAAAUAAUUGGCAGUGAAUAAAAAAAAAGUGUCAAAUACAAAGCCAAAAUAAAAAGUGACGAGAAAAACGACGUGUGUGUGUGCACAACGCGAAGCGCAAAGCGAAUGCGCGGCAGUGAAGGUUGUUACACGUGGAGCGCUAUAGUGGCUUGUGGCUGCGACGGUUGAUCAGGUUGAUACGUUGCGGAAAAUCCUUUGUUUUCACUUUGGCUUUCCGGCCAAAACUAGCAGCUAUACAGGCGCACAAAAUAAAAAAAAAUAAAAAUAAAUUGAAAUCAUAAGCUCUCGGCAAAUUUUAAUGCAGUUAAACCGAUGUGAGUCCACCACCUCAUCUGCGCCAUCUAAAUACGUAAACACGCAUAAGAACGAAAUCGAAUACUCGCAUGCCUUUUAUGGAAAUACCCGCCGAUUUGUCUAACAAUAAUAACAACAACAACAAUUGUUAAAGUACGCCGCGAAAAUUUAGUUGCUGCACACUGCCAACCAAGCGAAAGGCAUAUUUAGCGAAAAAACCCACGUCAACCGCGACCGAACGGCUGCCGGCAAACGCCACACUACAAUCCCGAUUUCAUGAUUUUCCACCGCACAGCACGCGCAACUGUUUAAGGCUAGCUGCCUAGUCGCCUGCCGCGUCUCGCUGUAUUCUGUGUUUGUGUGGCUGCGGGAAUUUUCGGUGCGUCGUCGCCGCCGUGUUUGUUGUGGAAAUUUGGCAAUUUCACUGGCACAACGGUGUGCACUUUAGCCUUGAAACCGCAUAGCACACAUUCAGGCGUUCGGCAUUACACAUGCCUGUACAUAUAAAGAACGCUUGAAACGCAUUGUAUAGUGCAGUCGGUUGAGCGUCGCUUAACUGUUGGUGUUUACCAGUAAAUGCGCUUGGCACAACAAUUUACGUACUAACGUUUGUAACGGAUUUCGGUAAUCAACGGCGCAUAGCGCGUCUAUCAUUCAAUUUAAACUUUGGAGACGAAGUAAAGUGUGUCGCGGUGUUUUUGCUGUGUUCUCUAACGCGUCGCGGUAAAACGUGUUGAUGAACUGCAAUUUAGUAUUAACGCUCAAAUACUUUUCUGUUGUUGCUGUUGUGAAACAAUAAUGUCAUCAAAAUGUGGAUUAAACCUGAUUUUCGUGUCGAUCAUUUUCAUUAUCAUCGUAAAUGGCUACGCAAAAGACAUUUCCGGAAUUGAAAGAGAUCAUCGUCGACUCAACGAAUACAUAUCGCACUUUGAAGUACUCAACUAUGAUCAUGAACACAUCCGAACUAGUCACAAUAGAGCAAGACGAUCCGUGACCAAAGAUCAUCAUGUAGAUUUAAAAUUUUCAGCACACGGAAGACACUUCCAUCUUAGGCUAAAGCGUGAUUUAAAUACAUUUAGUGAUAAAUUAGAGUUUUAUGAUAGCAACAAUCUCCCCCUGGAUGUGUCCACUGAUCACAUCUACGAGGGCGAAGUGAUAGGGGAUCGUAAUAGUUAUGUAUUUGGUUCCAUACUGGACGGGGUAUUCGAGGGUAAAAUAAUAACAGAACGUGAUGCCUAUUAUGUCGAACAUGCCAAACGAUAUUUUCCAACAACAAAUGCAACAGCAGCAGCUGCGAAUGGCGCACAAAUGCCAUUGGCGCAGCGACGCGUCGCAGAGCAAUAUUUUGGAACAACAACAACAACAACAUUAACGACGUCGACGACGAGCGCAACAAGAACAACAUCGCCAGCGCCAGCGCCAGAAACAACAACCUCCACAACAACGGCGAGUAUGACGACAACGUCUGAGAGAACGUUGAAAGCAUCUCCAACGUCCGGCGGAAAUCAUAAAAACGGACAAACUGAUGACAAUCGGAAUACUGGCUUCCAUUCCAUUAUUUACAAGGACUCACAUGUUGACGAUGCUUACAAGGACGUGCGUGAAGGGCAUGUUGGUGGUUGUGGCAUUACCGAGGAAGUUUCCCAAUGGAUGGAGAGCAUACAAAAUUCUGCCGUCGAAGAGUUGCCGGAACCGAUGUCGAAGGACGAUGUUAGACAGCAAAAGCAACAGCACAAAUUAAUCAAACCGAAUAGCGCGCGAAUGACACAGACGCAAGAUGCAGCAGAACAAGUUGGAGAUAAUGCUGCACAACCGACAAACAAGAAGCAUAAAAAGCCUACUGCCGCAUCAGCAACAGCAACAGCAACAGGCGGAAUAAACUCGCAACAGCGUCCACCGAAAAAAUACUCAAGUCCCACAGCAGCAGCCUCAACGACGUCGUCAUUGCCAACAGCGAGCGGUAACUCAAGGACAGCCAAGGAUGCCGCCAGCAGCAGCAUUGGCGAGGAUGACUUCAAAUAUCCUUAUCAAAAAUACUCCAAAGCUGCAAAUUUUCGCUUCGAUGAUGACGGUGACGCGUGGCGGCCAUUUUCGCCGAAGGCACAAUCCGAUGAUAUUUAUGGCCUGCCAAGCGGCAGCGGUAGCGGCUACUCUGGUGCAUUUUAUGACCCGGAAACAGGGCGCAAGUAUACGCCGCAAAGCAUGGAUCGUGACGAAUGGCAUGCGAAGGUGCAUGAACGUGUGCGCCGCGCUACCGCCGCUAAUCCGAACGAGAACAAGAAUACCUGUUCACUGUACAUACAAACGGAUCCGUUGAUUUGGCGACAUAUACGCGAAGGAAUUGCUGAUCAUGAUCGUGGCCGCAAAUAUGAGGUUGACGUAAAAACGCGUGAGGAGAUCACUUCAUUAAUCGCACAUCAUGUAACUGCCGUUAAUUAUAUAUAUCGCAAUACGAAAUUCGAUGGACGUAGCGAGCACCGCAACAUACGAUUUGAGGUGCAACGCAUAAAAAUCGAUGACGACUCCGCUUGUCGCAAUUCAUACAAUGGUCCGCACAAUGCCUUCUGCAAUGAGCACAUGGAUGUGUCGAACUUUUUGAAUUUGCAUUCGCUGGAGGAUCAUUCAGACUUUUGUUUAGCCUAUGUGUUCACUUAUAGAGACUUUACCGGCGGCACGCUGGGCCUAGCUUGGGUAGCCAGCGCUUCUGGUGCUUCGGGUGGCAUUUGUGAGAAAUUCAAGACUUACACCGAAACGGUCGGUGGGCAAUAUCAAAGCACAAAACGCUCGUUAAAUACGGGUAUUAUAACAUUCGUUAACUAUAAUAGUCGUGUGCCGCCGAAGGUGUCGCAACUGACGCUGGCGCACGAGAUCGGACACAAUUUCGGAUCACCGCACGACUACCCGCUGGAAUGUCGUCCUGGUGGUCUCACUGGAAACUUUAUUAUGUUUGCUAGCGCGACCUCUGGCGAUAGGCCGAAUAAUUCCAAAUUUUCACCGUGUUCCAUACGUAAUAUCUCCAAUGUACUCGAUGUUUUGGUCGGCAAUACGAAACGUGACUGCUUCAAGAUAUCGGAGGGCGCUUUCUGUGGCAACAAGAUCGUCGAAUCGGGCGAAGAGUGCGAUUGUGGUUUCAACGAGGAGGAAUGCAAGGACAUUUGUUGCUAUCCACGCAUCAUCAGCGAAUACGACCUGUCGAUGAACAGUUCCGCAAAGGGUUGUACGCGCCGCGCCAAAACGGAAUGCUCGCCUUCACAAGGUCCUUGCUGUCUGUCGAACUCAUGCCAGUUUGUGCCAUCGAACAACCACCAGAAAUGCAAAGAGGAGACGGAAUGUUCCUGGUCGAGCACAUGCAAUGGCACCACUGCUGAGUGUCCGGAGCCAAAGCCGCGUGAUGAUAAAACAAAAUGCAAUAACGGCACUGCGCUCUGCAUACGCGGUGAAUGCUCUGGCAGUAUUUGUCUGCUAUGGAAUAUGACCGAGUGUUUCCUCACUUCGCAAGCGGUGCCGCAUGUCGACAAGCGUCGCUUGUGCGAACUCGCCUGCCAGAAUGGCAAUGAUACUGGCACUUGUCGCAGCACUAGUGAAUUUGCGCGUCAAUUUGGAUUACCGGAGGGCGGCAUUAACCUGCGGCCUGGCUCACCGUGCGACAACUUCCAGGGCUAUUGUGAUGUAUUUCUCAAAUGUCGCGCCGUUGACGCAGAUGGACCGCUAGUGCGACUGAAGAAUUUAUUGCUGAAUCGCGAAACUUUGCUGACUGUGGCACAGUGGGUCACCGAGUAUUGGUACUAUGUAGUUAUAAUGGGCGUAGGCUUUAUAAUUGUGAUGGGCAUUUUCAUUAAGUGCUGCGCCGUGCACACGCCCAGCUCGAAUCCGAAGAAGCGACGCGCUCGCCGCAUUAGCGAAACGUUACGAGCGCCUAUGAAUACGCUACGCCGUAUGCAGCGUAAUCAUCAAGGGCGUGGUGCUGGGCCACGCAGCAUACCACCGCCUGCACACGAACAACGCGGCGGCGCUGCGGCCAGCAGUCAUCAUCGCAGCGCACAUCCACAUCAUUGGGACCGUCAUCAGGGUGGUCAUUCCGUGGUGCCGCUUCCUACCGGCGGCCCACAACAUAAUCACCAUCACGCUGCAGGGCGUACAGCGGCAAGUGGCGCAACAGCUGCAGCAGCAAGUGGGCGUGCGCCAGCUAAUGGACGUGGCUCGCGGCCGUCAACACGCCCCACGAGCGGUACACGCAGCACAACACAUGGCGGGUAUGCAGAUGUGCCGCCACCUGGUCUUGUAGUUGGUGGUGUUGCCACUGGCGUUAGUAGUGGUGGUGGUGUUGGAGUUAGUGGUGCGCCCAAUGGCGCGCUGUUAGUUAGCGGUGGUAGUGGCGGCGGCGUUGGUGGAGGACCCAGCGCUGGUGUGAUAGCACGUCAGCAAAUGCCGCUGCCACUGCCGCCAACCGGCGCGGUACAAGCGCAACAAUUGCAGCAACAACAACAAGUGCAGGCAACACUCUCACAAGCAUAUUAUGCGCCGCCGAAAGCACCGGCCGCCAAACGAAAUAAAUCCCGUAAUCCAGCAGCACACACCUCUUCGGCUGCCGCUGGCAGGCGCUCUUCCAAAGAGUCGCCGCAGCGCGCACAGCAGGCCGUCGCAAAAAAAACCCGCAAGGUCGUUUACUGAACCCAUAUACGUGUACCUACAGAUCUCCACACCACAACAAGUGCUCUAUAUAGAUAUUUUUCCACGUUCUCACUCUCACCAAAUUGCCGUCGCUCCGCAACCAGCAAAUUAUAAUCGGCCGCCAUCGCUGCAUAAUCCUGAACUGUAUGCGGAUGCCUAUGCCGCGCUGGGACGGGGGGCGUAUGAGGCGACCACACGCCCACCCAACAGCAAAGUUUGACAGCAGCAACGGCAGUCAGCAGAGCAGCAGCAGCAGCAACAGCGAAAAUCAACAGCAACAAAAACCACUGCAGAAACAACACAAAAAUCAAAUGAACUCAAAUUAAAUGUAAAUGUACUUUUUACGCUAAUUAUUAUUAUAUAAAGUAAACACAAAAUAUAAAAAUAUAAGAUUAAAUAAAAUACAAAAAAAAAACAAAAAAAAAAUGCAAAGGCAACAAAGAAAUUAACAAAAAGUAAAUAAAAUACAUAUAUAUAUAUAUAUAUUUUUUAAAUUAAUUGAUAUACAAAAUACACAAAAAAGUACAUAAAAAUAAUCAAAAAAUUAAAAAAUAUAUAAAAUAAUUAAUUAAAAGUAAGAAAACUAAAGUAAAUAGUGAAAAAGUGUGUAAACAUAUGUAAAAUGUGAAUUUCGAAGUUGAAUAAAUUGCGAUGAAAGAAAAAGGCAUAAUACUGAAAUAUAUAGUUAAUACAAUUUAAAAUGUAAAUUACAAAAAACCAAACAAAAAAUUGAUAUUUUGUGCAGAAUAUUACAAGUAAGCUGUUAAGAAACAUAUUAAGCAAUGUGAAUGUCGAAAGAAAUGCAUAGAAACCAAACGCAAGCACGUCAAAAAGACUAUAAAGCAUAUUGAUAAAAAAAAAAUGUAGACAUAAAUUUAAUUACACAUUACUGAUAAAAGAAAUAGUUACGUAAAGUUCAAUACUACUACUAAUGCAGGGCAUGGAACAAGGUUCAUAGAGCACAAGAUUGAGCCACUGGUUAGCAAAAGAAAAAUGUCUUUUAUAAUUUUUUUAUAAGCAAAUUAACAUUUAUAAUGUUCAUUGAUGAUCUAAAUUUAUUUAGUUGAAGAAUUAUUUAAACCUUUUUUAAAUUCUGAUUGUUAAACAUGAUACAUAGCAAUUACUUUUUAAAUUUUUUUCUUGCUAUUAUAAACUUGAACAGUCAGCGCUUCAGCCAAAAUUCUUGUGUAUCUGUAAGCGAUCAUUCCUCUCCUACUAACUUUCAGCAUUAAAAUAAAAUAAUAUAUAUCGUGCUCAUAGUGGAUACACCGAUAAAAUACCGAAAGCAGCUACCGUAUACAGCGGUUAGUCUGAACAAAAAUUACAUGCACACUUUCUGUGGAGAUGCUCCCAAUAUACACGAAACUAUAACCGAUGUAAAUUGGGUAGUAGUAUUACCAUAAAUUCAAUUCGAUUACAAAUUGCACGUACACUUUUCGUAAAGCUGCUCAUAAAAUACCUGAAACUAUUUAAGUUGUUGUUGUUGUAGCGGCAGAACUCCGCGGAGUUGACAGUCCUUGGCCGGUUAAAAAUCCGGGUCCGUUCCGGUUACGUUGACCCGACUGUCAUGGGAACGGAAACUAUUUCUGAAACCAUUUUACCACAUGCAGCGAUAAUAAGUUCAAAGAAGAAGCUCGAUUGUUUAUUUUAUGAGGUAUGAGGGAAAAGUUAGGAUAAAUUAUUAUAUACAAUUUACAAUUUCUCGUAUAUAAUAUGUGUGUACAUACAUGGUUUUCCUGAAAAUUAUUUUAAUAUUUGUAUUUGAGUUUCGGGUAGUCGGGACUUGCUGAAACGUGACUGUCGCACAACAAUUAUUUUAUUUCAACAUUAGAGUGGUGGUGAUCUUCUCUUUUAUGGAUCUUGGGUGUGAGCUCCGUUGUAUAUGAAUUGCAAAUUUUUAUUGUAGUUGUGUUUGAUUGUGUCACAAUAGCUGAACAAUUCGUUAUUCAAAACAAAAAAGUUAGAAUUUUUUAUAUUUUCAAAAAUUAACACAUUAAUUACAUAAUACAAAUGUUAAAAAAUGAUUUUGGUAGCAAGCCAUUAUGAAAAGCGUGAAGUGAGUGUAAAAAUUUAAUGGGAAUGCAUUAUUUUUAUAUAACUAAAUUUUGUUGUUUUUGAAAAUUGGCGCUAUGUGGGCAAGCAGCCUUGGUCUACAGUUUGUUAGAGAGAGAGAGAGAGAGAGAGAGAGGAAAGUAAUUUUAUAUAUGUAUAAUCGUUUUUAUUACAAAAAUUAAUAAAUGUAAAAUAUUUUAAAGAAUCAAAUUUUAAUAUUCAAAACUGUUUAGUUGCAAAUUUUUAAUUUUCAUAUAUAUAAAAGUGCGUUGUCAAUAUCUUAAAUCACAAAAUCGUUAAUUAAAAGAUUUUAAAAAUUUCUAAAGAUUAGAGUUUACUUUAAAAUUCCAUUAUUUUAUUAUAUUUAAAAUUCAUUGAAGAAUUAUCUAAUUAUAUUUUUAAACUUAUAUGCAAGAGCAAUUGAAUUUGUAUCUAUUUGCAAAAAUAUGAAAAAUUUAAAUAUUUCAAAAAUUUAAAUAUUUCAAAAAUUGAAAUAAAUAAAACGUUUCAUAAAAACGUAUUACAAAAUGUAGUGCUAGGAUAAAUUUUAAAAAAGGUUUUCCAGACUAUUUAUAAAAAAAAUAUUCGAAAAGAGUGCUACAAUGAAUUAUCAAAAGCCUUUCAGAUUUUUUAAAAAUUAUUUAAAAAAAGUGCUACAAUGAAUAUUGACAAAGCUUUUAUAAUAAAUUUAUUAAUUAUGUGGUAAAAAUUAUUUACUUAUAAUUUAUUAAAAAUACAAGAUAUAUACUUUUUAUAAUAAUGUCUCAAUAUUUGUUAUUGAAUUAUAUGCUGAGGGGAAGUGAGAAAAACUAUUGUUUUUCAAAGCUUUUUCUUUAUGAAAAUUGAGCGCAAACUGAUUGAUGUUUGUUGUAAUAUAAAUAAUGCUCGAAAGAUUUUCUUUAAAUUUUCCCAGAAUCUAGUUGUUACAAAAACUUUUAUGUAUAUUGGAAUCUAAAGUUUGAAGUUUAUUGAAAUCGAAACUAGAAGCAAUCUUAUUUAAACUUCAAAAACACCUUGCAUUAAGAAAAUACUUUAUAUAUGUUUAACAGGUUUGUUUCUUUAAUGCUAACCACCACUUCACUAGCCAGUCAAGUAUCUGCUGGAAAAGCGUAACCUAAAAAACUAGCAGAAGAGAGAACAAAUAGAGAGCGUAAAAAGCAGAAAGAGAGCUGCUAGUUUCUGCCCGUGAAAUAUCUGCUGGCAGGUUUAAUUUUCAAACGUUGAUAUGAUGUGAUUUCAAAAAACAACAUUUUCAUAUUUUCUUGCUAAUAUCUGCAAGUUUUUCGAUGACUAGCUGCUACUAGCACUACAGAAACAAAACUAUAUAUAGUAAACAUGAAAAUUAAUUUUAAAUAUUUUUUGAGACAAUUUCAAUAGUUCAUGAAAUAUUUUAUAAAAACCGUAUUUGCACAGUUUUAAAAUGUACAUAUGUAUAUGAGAAAAAGUAUCAGAAAUUUUCGAAAAAUCUACAAUACUUCUUUAUUAAUACGUAUCUCGGCUGCUGCCCUGGCACUUCCAUGCUCUGAUUACUAUUGAUUAUUCGAAGAUAUACAAUAUAAUUCGCUACAUUGCUGCAUUGUAUAGACAUAAUUAAGAUAAGCUUGUUUCUUAAAAUUUUCUUCGUGAAUGCCUCAUUAUUUUAAAUAUAUAUUAGUUUACUUUUAAAUGGUUACCUUAUGUUAUAUAAUAUACAUAUGUAUAUGUAUAAAAAAAAAUAUUUUUUAAAGCAUAUAAAGUCAUAAAUACCACAGAUGUUUGCUUUAAUGCGUUCAUUAUUUUUAUAAAAAAAAGUUUAAGAUAUAAUUUAAAUUUAUUUAUAAAUAAGUUUUUACAAGUAAGUACGACCCUACAUCAAGAAUUAAGAUAAAUUAUGCAAUCAAACGAGUUGUAUAUAAAUACCAUACUUAUCUAUUUUAUAAAGUAAAAUUUCCGAACUGCGAACAAAAUUGUAAACUUUUUACUCAUUUAUGUUUGUAUGCUAAAAAAGUAUAAAUAUGUGUGUUUAUGUUUACCUCAUAGAUUUUUUAGCCUUAUCUCUUUGCAUUAGUUAAGUGUCAAUAUGAAGGAUAAGUGGGCGCAUUUGCAUUGUAAGUGCUAUUAUGUAAAUCCAGUUUUGAUGAUAAAAAAAAGUGCUUUUAGUAUUUUUUAGCUAUAAACAUAUGAAAUUUUAAAGAGCUUCAAAGAGCUAUAUAUGAAAUUGUAAUAAAAUUUAGUAAUGUAUUACCCUUUGCAAAUAAUUUGAAAUUUUAUGAAUGUAUUCAAACCCACCUAACAGCGAAGUUGUGGAGAACUUUGUUUUUGUAUUUCGUAUUUUAUAAUAAAUAUUUCAUAUUGUGUUAGCUUAUUUUGAAAAUUAUGUAGCUUAUCACUGUCCGAUAUUGUAGUAAAUAAAUAUGCUUUUAUUUUAUAAAUUUAUAAGUUUUCUUUUGGAUUUUUUACAAUUUACUUUAUAAUUGAGAAUGCUUAAUUGUACUCGAGUGCUUACCGCCGUGUUGAAAAAAGACAUAUUAAAAUUGUAGUAAACUAACUAAAAAUCUACACGUAUAUAUAUGUUUUUUAACCAGAAAUUAUGUAUAAUAUUUUUUUAUUUUUUAUUAUUUGUGAAAAAUAAUUUUCUGCACUACAAACACACACAUUUACAGCUUAGAAAAAUUAAAUUCAACUUUGUAUUUGAUUCUUUAUGGAAGCAUGGUUUAAUUUGCGGACAGACCCAAUUUAAUAAUUUUUUUCAUCUUCGUAUCUCAGAAACGGGAGCACUUAGGAGCUAAGUAUUCAUACACUUUUACAGCUAAUUUUAUGGUCUUAAACUUUUCGCCAAGGUAGUUUUUGAUACAAAUUAAAGUUUCAUUGAAAAUCUAAAAAAAAAAUUUUUUUUGACCUUUGAACAUAUUUACUAACUGUAAACUUGUUGUAAUUCUGUAUAUAAAUAUGUAACUUCACUCUUGUUUCCUGUCUAAUUUGACUGAACUAUUUUAUUUCUAUUUGUGUUUUACAGCUUGGUAUCUUUUCUACUUUAUUAUAUAUUAUAUUUUGCAGGUUAUAUAUGAAACCGAAUUUUUUUAUUUCAUUGGUAUUAGCCCAGGCCUAAAAGCAUGUCAUAAAUAUAUAUAAAACUUUUGAUACAUGGACCCCAAACACUUUAGUCAUUAUUUGUAUUUUUCAUUCCUAAAUUCUUUACUCAGGCAAAUGCAGGAAUGUAGAAUGAAUCUGAACAACUUAUGUUCACAUAACUUUUUUCGUAUACCAAAACAGAUAAUUCUAUAAACUUGACAAAGUUUCAGCAGUUAUCUUGGGUCAGUUGCACGACUUUCUAACUAUUAGUUACAUAUUGUUUAGACAAUUAAGAUACUGAAAAAACUUAGUUGUGACCAAAACCGUUUCAUUUGUAUUUCUGUUCGAACUGACUCCGGCGGAGACGACUUCGUAAAAUCAGUGUUAUCAUAGUGCUUAUACAUACAUAACUAUUUAAGCAUGUUUGGUAUUGGCUCAAAAUUUUUCAAAUAUAGUUUAAUGUUGGAAACAGUUACCGACGUUCCGCUCUUCCGUACUUACCGCCGGUAUUAAACAAAAUUUGUCAAAAGUUAUGUCCGUAGUGGCAACGUAGAAAUCAGUUGUUCUCUUUUAUUUUCAUUUCACCAAUGCUCAUUUUCUAUACAUGAUUUUGUUCACAUUUAGCUUUUCAGUUAUAAUUUUUCAUAAUUUAAAAGCUCAAAACUAAAAUUCAACUAUUAAAAAUAGUCUACCUAUUUAUAUAUAAAUGUAUUCGAUUGUGAUUUUGAGAUAGUUUAAGAAUAUUUCAAAUAUUGUAUAUUCAAGUGUUUUUGUAAUGACUACAAAAUCCUUGCGUUGUAAGAGAGCUAGUGAGAGCAAUCACCUAACUUGUGAGAGCAACUCGUUUCUAUGUAAAAAAAACCCCAAUUUUUGCGGAUACUGCGAUCGGUGGAAGCGGUGGUGUGUGUUCAUUUACAUCGCGCUCUCAUAAGAUAGGUCGUAUCAGCUGAUUCGGUAUACGGUUUUGCGUCGGUGACUGUUUCCGUCAUUAGACUCGUUACUUUUAAAUGUGUUUGAUAAGGAAAAACAUCAUUUUGUGACAUCUUCAACGAAAGACUUUAUUUAGGAAAUUUAUUAUUAUGGAAAUUUUGCCGUUCGCUUCUUGAACUCUGAUAUUUGAAAUUGUCUAAGUAACUUAAUUUUGUCUCGAAUAAAAGAGAAUGGAUUCCUUCUAACUACCUACCUAAUUACCAAUUCUGUUCCAAUGUGAUGCCGACGUCGGAACGAAGUUUCAAAAAGCUUCUGAUAAUAAACUUGUAUUUAGCCAUAAUUUAAGAGCCACAGCAGUUCCUUGUUUGUUGAAAUCAAUUGCCUUUAUCGCAUCUCCUUAUUUAACAUUAAAUUGUUAUAAAUUAGUUUACCAAAUUGAUUUAGCUUUCGAUUCUUUAGUUAUACUUUCUCAAAAACUACAGUCAGCAUACUCUGACAACUGCUAGUAAUGAGUUACUGUUUGAUUGUGUCGACAACUGUACUAACAAAGGGUUGUCAAUGGUAAUACUAACUACAAGGUGUUCACAACUCAACCUGACUGUAUCUAGUUCUAACUCGAUUUGUUAUCGAUUGCAAAAAUUCAACUCAAGUGGGCGGUAUUGAAAACUGUAAUUGGGGUAUAGAUAUAGCGUCGAAUUGUGCUAACAUUAUACUAUCUAUGCUGAGAAAUAUAGAAUGCGAAAGUGGUCGACGGUUUUUAAAAGAAAAGUUUUUAAGUGGCACAUAACAUACAUUUCCUCACAACCUCUCCCUUAAAGAAAUAUGUUGAUUUGUUCAGAAGUCACAGAGGUGAAAAACAAACGAAAUAUUUAAAUUUUCAGAAUGUUUCACACUUUUAAAAUUUACUAAAAUUUUAUUAUUGUUUGUUAAGGUUUAACAACUGAGGGACUUGGUAGGAUUUGGAUUAAUAUAUAGCAUACUUCUUAGUAUUUAAAAAUUUAAAAAAAAAUUCGUAAACUUAUAAUUAUAUAUCUGAUACUUUUGAACUUAAAUUCAACUCAAACUUAUUUCAUUAAAUGAAAUUUGUUUUUGUUAACUUUUUAAUGAAAUCGUGUUUCGCUAAGUAAAUUUCGUCUCUAUACAUUUUUUUAGUUUUUAUUUUACACAUACUCAAAAAAAAACUUAAUUACUUUAAAUAUUAUUUUUUAGUAUUAUAAAAUUGUAUUUCCCUUCAUUUUGUUUUUGAAAAUCUUCCACAUUCUCCUCAUGUUUUUUAACAUUUUUGUAUCAUCUAACUUUCUAGUAUUAUAAACUGUAAAAUUUUUGCUACACGAAUGAAUGAUUGUCUGGAUGUAUUGAACUACUCUGCUCAAAGAAAAAUGUAAAAAGCAAAUAAAGUAAGGUUAGCACCGAAAGUAAACAAACAAAUACAAAACGCGUGAAGAAAUUCUUAAGAAGUAUAUAAAAAUAUGAAACUUAAAGUUACAAAGUAUUAAAGAAUAAGAAAAAAAUCAAAACGCGAAAAAAUAAAUUUAAAAAAAAUAUAUGCAAAAAUAUUCUAACAACUGUAAAUAUUGAACUCUAAAUAUAUUAGGUUUACUAUAAAUAAAGCAAAAGCGAUAUUUGAAUAUAAAUAAUUAUGCAAAUAAAUAUUAAUGCGUAUAAAAGCUAAGUAAGUGCAUAUUAGCCGCUAAGUGCGAAUUAAAGAAACUUAUUAAAUAAAAUAAUAUUGAACAAAAAAAAUAAAAUAGAACCAACUUAUAAUAACUCUCAUUAAGUGUAAGCGUACGCAAAGAUAUACAUAGGUAAAAGUCAAAACUUCAAUUUAUUGGCAACAAUUCA
Bactrocera oleae (olive fruit fly) is the source of this 14222-nucleotide RNA transcript. It is a transcript of the gene named zinc-dependent metalloprotease kuz, with no coding region annotated. NCBI's taxonomy places the organism in Eukaryota, Metazoa, Arthropoda, Insecta, Diptera, Tephritidae. The record is from RefSeq and is a predicted model, not a curated record.